RNA transcript from Hemicordylus capensis (graceful crag lizard), 5353 nucleotides. It is a transcript of the gene named solute carrier family 35 member C2, with no coding region annotated. The transcript is spliced from 9 exons. The record is from RefSeq and is a predicted model, not a curated record. NCBI's taxonomy places the organism in Eukaryota, Metazoa, Chordata, Lepidosauria, Squamata, Cordylidae.
GGAUAAGAUCAGCCCUGUGCCUAGUGGGUGGAGACGGCGCCUUCUUUCCUGGGGCAAACGCCAGGUUUUAGUGUUGACUCUUGUUCAUGGGGUGCCCACCUGGAGCUUUGACAGACCGGGCUUCCUCCUUCGGGAGAGAGAGUGUGCAUUCACACACCAGCCAAACCUACCCCAAGCCCCUUCGCGAUCCUUGGAAGCACUCCACACACAGAUUAGGCUUAGUCUUGUGAAUUCUAGCUGAUCUCGCGGUAUUUCUGGGUUUGUAAAAUGCUGGUUUUAAGACUUUUUCUGCAAACACCUGAGCAAAUGGGGAGAGGCGCUGCUGUAGAAUCAUGAGCAUGAGCAGAGGGAUACUCUCUCUAGAAAUGCAGAUGUGGCUCUUUAGGAAGCUCCCCCUCCACCCCCGCUUGGCUAGAAGGAAGACCCGACCGAGGCAUGCCACGUGGACUUGCAUCAAAACGUAACCCGAGGCUGCCCCCCCCGCAAUGCCGCGAGUGUGAUUGGGCGGGGCUUCGCUCAACGUCCCCCCGCAGCGUGGAGCCCUGUGCGGGUAACUCCUGCCCAAUAAAAGGGCCCGCAGAGUGAAAGCCCGGAGCCGGCCCUUCCUGCCUGCCUGCCGGCCGCGGAGGCCACCCCGGCGCCCUUGGGCGGGACGGAGGAGGCGGGCUCGGCUGCCCAAGGGCGGCGGGUGGCCAGCGCGAGCAAGAGCCGCCCAGUCCCACCGGCCCGCACCACCGCGGCCCGCCUUGGCCCCCACGCCCGGUGAGCGCGCGAGCCUCCAGGCCGCCCUCCGGGGCUCAGCCGAGGAAGCCCGUCCCGGGACCCGGCUUGGCGCUCGCGCCUCUCGAGGGCCGGCCAAGGAAGGUCCCCGGAAGUAGGGCUCGGAGGCGGGACGGGCGAGUCUAGCGCCAGGAGUCUGGAGCAAGCGGGCUCGCCCUCCCCCCCCCGGAGCCGGAAGUGGCGUAGGAGGAGGCGGGGCUGCUGCCGCUGGGGGCGGGAGGAGGAGACGGGCCCCGUCGUGGCGCUGCCCAGGAUGCCGCCGCCGCCGAGCGGGAGGCGGGUGGGGGGCGCUGCGCGGCGGGCGGCGGCGGUGGCCGGGCUGGUGCUGCUCUACUACGGCUUCUCCAUCGGCAUCACCUUCUACAAUAAGUGGCUGAUGAAGAGCUUCGGCUUCCCGCUCUUCAUGACGCUGCUGCACCUGCUGGUCAUCUUCGCGCUCUCGGGCCUGGCCCGGCGCUGCUGCUGCGCCAAGAGGCCCGCCCGCGUCGUCCUGCCCUGGGCCGGCUACCUGCGCCAAGUGGCCCCCGCCGCCCUCUCCACAGCCUUGGACGUGGGACUCAGCAACUGGAGCUUCCUCUACAUCACCGUCUCCCUCUACACCAUGACCAAGUCCUCGGCCGUCCUCUUCAUCCUGCUCUUCUCCUUGGCCUUCAAGCUGGAGGAGCCGAGGGCGGCCCUCAUCCUGGUGGUGCUGCUCAUUGCUGGGGGCCUCUUCCUCUUCACCUACAAGGCCACGCAGUUUGACCUGGAGGGCUUUGCCCUGGUGCUGGGCGCCUCUUUCUUGGGCGGCAUCCGCUGGACCCUGACGCAGAUGCUCCUGCAGAAGGAGGAGCUGGGUACGUGCGCUUGGGGGGCACCGCGCGCUCCUGGGGUGGGGGUCCCCCACUCCCACCCCCACCCCGGCGAGGGACACCUCUCCUCUUCUUUCCCGCAGGGCUUAAGCAUCCCAUUGACACCAUGUUCCACCUGCAGCCAGCCAUGUUCCUGGGGCUUUUCCCUCUCUUUGCUGCAUUUGAAGGGCCUGUCCUUAGCUGCGUCCGAGAAGCUGUUCCGCUUCCAGCAGGCCGAGCGGCUGCUGGGCUUGCUCGGGAAGCUUGCCCUUGGCGGGGUGCUGGCUUUCGGCCUGGGCUUCUCCGAGUUCCUCCUGGUGUCCAGAACCUCCAGCCUCGCCCUCUCCGUCUCCGGGAUCUUCAAGGAAGUCUGCACUUUGCUGCUGGCUGCGCAGCUCACGGGGGACCGGCUGAGCCCCUGGAACUGGCUCGGCUGUGUCCUCUGCCUCCUGGGCAUUUCCCUGCACGUGGCGCUGAAGGCUCUCUCUGCCCGAGGGCACAAGGGCCCCAAGCAGCACAAGGAGGCUGGCUCCGGCCCUGACCUGGAGCUGCUCUUGCUGCAUCAGCACCAGGAAGAAGCGGAGGCCGCCGGCUCGCUCCAGCCCUGAAGCGCCCCUCCAGCUGCGGGCCUCGAGGGGCCUGGCCCGGGGCGACCCCACUGGCCGACUGCUCCGUCGGGGGGCCUGAUGGCGGCAGGCGGCCUGAGGCUCCGUCCGCCGGGGCAGGGCGGGGCAGCGUCUGCAGAACCACCCCAAGUGCGCUGUGCUGCUGGGAGCUGCUGCCUUCGUGCCCUCUGGACCCCCGGCCAGGAGCACGUGGCGGCCCCUCCCCGCGGGUCUUCUGCAGGGGCCUCUGUCUGGCGGCUGGGCAUAUCCCGGCCAGCAAAGUGUCUGUGGGCAGGAGAGCGCCGCCUAGGAGGACGGGGCAGGGCAGCUGCUGAGGCUGCCUGGAUGGCUUGCCCCAGAGGGGGUGGGGACUCCCCAGUUUGGCCCUUAGAGGCCAGCAAAGAGGGGGCUGUCGCCUCAGCCUUGUGGGAGGCCUGAGCGGGCCAUGCCCGUGUGCCGUGGGGCAGAGGCGGCUGCUUUCUGCUGAGCCAGACCAUUGGUCCGUCUAGCUCCGUCUUGUCUCCACUGACUGGCAGCAGCCCCAGAGCCGUUUUGUGCCCUGCCUAGCAGCGCCUGAGCCGGGGCUCUGCCCACCCCUCCCUCCGUGGGCCAGGGUGACUUGGGGAUGCCAGCAGAGCCCAGCCGGCUGUGAGGGCUGCUUGCCCGCUAGGAGGGCCCUUGAUGGCCGUUGCCCUUCCUGCCCUGGGAGGAGCAGGGCGCCCUCUUCGGCCUCAGCACCUGGCAGGUAAGGGAGCAAGGGCAGCUGCUUCUUGGAGAGGGGAUGGCCAGCUGGAGCUGGCCUUGGUAGCCAGCCCAAGCAAGUGCUUGCCCCGGCUCUGGCUCUGUCCGGAGGGUAGAUGCUUUGUGGCAGCAUCAUGUGGCGGGCUGGGCAGAGGGCGGGCUUGUCGCCGGCAGGCUGAGCCUCCCAGAAGCGCUGCACACCGUUUGGGAGCCCGCCUCGCCCGCCUCCAGGCUCGGACCUGGCUGGCCGUGUCGUUCUUGCUCCAGCGAGCAAGCCUGGGGCUGCUGGCUGGCCGGCCCCCUCCUCCCUGGCCUGCCCAGCCCCAGGCAGAGCACGAAGGGCCGGCUCCCCCUCGCUGCUCUGCUGGUCUCUCGUGGCUCAGAUGGCUUUUCUUGCUGAGAACCCAGCCAGUGUCGAAGUCAAUGCUGGUGGGGUUCCAACCGUGGGCCGUAAAGGGAGCCUCCAAAGGCGCCCAAAGCAGACACACAGUUGGCGGCUGCCGCCGUGUCUUGUGGCCCGGCCUUGAAGAAGAUGCGUCUGUGGCACAACUGUUAUCUUGCCUCCUCCCCCGCUUGGGGUGAGGGACGGUCAGCAAAACAACCAGAACUCAUCGCCCGCGCCAUUGGAUCCGACUCUGUGGCUGCCUCGGUCCUGGCCGCUGGAUGCCCGCCGCCGCCGCCCAGCUCUUUGGGCUUGGAUGUGCGGAGGAGGAGAGGCCUGGCGGAGAAGGGCCUUCGUCGGGCUCCUGGUCAGCGGCUCCGCCGGCUCUCCUGCCCCCUGUCCUCAAACACCUUUUCUGGCAGCUGCAUGUCCCAGAGUAUCCUAGAAGGUGGCUGCACCAGCCAUUGGGAGAGGGGCAGUGUGAGGCGUGCUCUCCCUAGGAAUACGCGCGACGCGGACAGCCUCGUUCCCUUUUGUUGUUCCUGCUGCACACCAGGCAGCUGCUUGAUUCUGUCCUUUGACCAGUUCCCCGUCCACAAAAGGGCCUGUCCUCUUCCCCCAUGACUGCUGCCAAGGGGACGGCUCUGCUCCUCCAUCCCCAGAAAAGCUUGCUCGGUCGGUCCAGUCCUGGUCUUGCCGCUGCUGCUCCCUCCCGCUUUGCCCAGAGAAGAACUUUGACUUGGCGUUUGGUGACUUCCUGAGAUUCAUUUGCAGUUUGUUGGCUGCCCUUCUGACGGCUUCGUCAAACCCCACUGUGUGGACUGGCUUCCUCCUGGUGUGCUGAAAGACCCCUUGCAAAGUACGGAACACUGUCUUAUCUGGUCAAGAGAGGAAAUUACAUCAUCAUUUGUAUGAGUUUGUGCAAACAUUUCAAUCAGUUGGCCGGACGGUUACACGUGUACAUUAAAAACAAGGAAGUUACAUCCACAGAUCAUUGCAACUCAGCAUGAUCGAAUGCUCCAGCCAAGUACAGCUGCCGUCACUGUCUGCGGAGCAUUAUUCACAGCUCUAGGGACCUUUCGCCAAAGUCUACUUCAAGCCAAAAUGGCAUUGGUUUGGUCAAGCAAGUGAAGCGAUUUCUACAGCUUGCUGUCAGCUCUCUUCCUGGCUUGCUAGACAUGGAGCUCUACUUUCAAUGCGAGGAGAUGGCCAUAAUCUCCCCUUCUGCAGCCUCUUGAACUCCAGCUUAAGCCCCUGGGGUCCUUUGGGGGCUCCCUGUGCCUUUCCCAACAGGCUGCUAGCUACUUCUUGGAGUCCCUUCACAGAGGCUGCAAGGGGCCUCCCCGGCAUGGGGUGGGAGGGACCCUCGAGAUGUGCUUUCUGACCGUCUGCCUCAGGAGAAUAUUGUGAGAGGGAACAAGUGGCAAGAUCACCGAGAAUCAGCAAGACUGUUGAGACCGAUGAGGCGACCAUUCAAAAGUGGAGCACAGAACUCUGAAACUGAGGUUUUAUACUAAGCAAGUCCCUUUCCGGAUGAUCCCUAGCGUGGAAUUGGCCUUUUUCACAGCUGCCGGACAUUGAGUCGACACUUUCAACGAGCUGUCCACCACCACCCCAAGAUCUCUCUCACUGACAGCUCAGAUCCCAUCAGUGUAUAUGUGAAGUUGGUGUUUUGUGCCCCAGUGUGCAUCACUUGACACUUGCUUGGUUUUGUAUAUUGUUUUGAAUCCAGGCGGUACUUUCCCUGCUGCUGCUGUUAUCAUACUAAGCCUAGAACAGCCUUUGAAAAGCAAAAAAAGUUCCUUGUCCCUGCCCUCUUAAGUGUGCCACCUGUGCUGCUGCACCUGGAAUCCCUUCAAAGUCAGGGUGCUUGCGACAAAAACAGAAGAGACCCGGGCAUGCCAAAGCAUGGGCGAGUUCCAGCCCCACCUCAUGGCUCCCCCCCAAUUUCAGCUGCCAAUCAGCUUCCUCGGCCCCCCUCUUUCAGGCCACAAUAAAGCCCCAUGGUGCCGGGG